Molecule: long non-coding RNA, 1805 nt
Organism: Mauremys mutica (yellowpond turtle)
Lineage: Eukaryota; Metazoa; Chordata; Testudines; Geoemydidae
Exons: 3
Source: RefSeq, a predicted model, not a curated record
CAACUGUGAAUUGAUCAGGCUAAUCCCAUGCAGGGUGAAGACGAUUGCAGCCUAGUGUUGUCCUUUCAAAAUCCACAGGUUUUGCCGACUGUCUGCUGUGAAAAGCUUGCUAUAAUUUGGUGGCAAACAUGAAGAUGGAGCAUGCAUUUGUGGAAACAGAAAAAAACAUUAUUUGUGGUUGUCCGAAUCCUUGGCUGUGUCCAAGAAGAAGCAUACACCACAGUUCAAGAGGGCCCAUGUUUGUGGGGUGCAGAGGUGGCUUAAUGCCAACCAUGCUGUGGCCAGUCCUCUAGAAUAAGCAUAUUUUGCCAAUGACCCCAAGAAGUUGAUAAGGCAGCUAGGAGACAGCAAGGAGGAGAGAUUUCCCCAGCCACAUCUGUGUUCCCUGGCCAUGCGCCCUAUCCAGGCUAUCGGAAGGAUGAAUGAUAUAACACCACCAGAGGCUCUUCCUACAGUGGGGUGAACCUCCCUUGACCGUCUGUGCUGGAUUUCAGGUCACAGCACUGCCCAGGAUCUCAGUUGUGAUAGUCACUUGACCCUUUGCUCCCACUUACAUUUACACACAGAGAAACAUGAAAAUUUUGUGUCUAGUUUUUUCAUCCCUCACAUGAGUGGUUUUCCCAACACAAAGGGGAAAACACUUUGCAAUAAGAAGAUUUUGAUUUUGGAGUCUUCAGUAUGAUCCACAAAAAAGAAAACCAGAGUGGAAUGAUUCUCCCACUGUAUUAAGCAGGCAGUGAUUGGCCUUUGGGAAGCUCUCAGUAUAUCUUCUUAAAUGCCAGAGUGCACAGAAGAUUACAGGCCAAAAACUGAAGUAAAGGUUCAAGCAUUUCUCCAUGGGAUUGAAAUACCUUUUAUCCUAGAAUUUUUCUUCACAUAAAGUUGCCCAAAUUACUUUUGGGAAUUCACUAAAACUGAAGCUUUCUCUUCUCCUUUGUAGCUUAAGCUAGCACUUGGCUGAAUUUCUCCUGACACUUCACCAGUAUUUCUCUGGAUUUAUUGAAAUUAACAUGAUUCUCAGUCACUUGACAGCAGUUGACUUAAUUUCUGUAGUGGGCUACAAAUAUGUAGUGUAUCCAGAAUCACAGUUUGUAUUUUUAGAUUUUUAUUUUAAAGGCCAAAGAUAAAGGUACUUUCUUUCUGGAGUUGGUACCUUAGGUGUAACAUGUUUAUUAUGCUGAAAACAAAACACAAAGGUAACAGUCUCUGAAUGAAGCAGGAAUUGUAUCGGGACUUCAAGGAUCACACUACAUAGAAUGUUUACUCAUGGAUUAAACAUGCAGACCAUUUACUAAGGACCCUAGACAGUUAAUCAACAAUGUUUUGCCCUAUUCACUUGAAUUAUCUGGUUUCAACAAGAAAAAUAAAACCCACUCCUGCUUCUUGUAUUACUUGAUUCAUAAAGUAAAAUUUAAAAAAAGUAAAAUUUGGAUAGCUUUUAAAUGAAGUUUACAUAGCAUGACUGCUGGCCAAGUCUCUUAGGCUAAAAAUUCAGAUUCAGUAUUCAGAGAGCUCCCUAAUAAUGUCUGGAAGUCAGACACAUUGUGCUGUCAUCUUGUCAGAUCUCACAAACCUGAGUAAGGCUAGGCAAAUGCUUGAAUGGGAGACCAAUAGAGAACACAUAAGUACUACAGGAAACAUUGAUUUGCUAGAUAGAAUUUCCUUCUGAAGUUACUGAACCAAUGAUCUAAUACACUUUGAAUUAGACAUUAAACUGAGUGUCACUAAGAAUCAGAAGGUAGGGAUGAUAACGCCAAGUUCCUGGCCAAUUUCCAGCUCAGCAAUUUACAUUGUGCCUUCUCAAA